This 1392-nucleotide ribosomal RNA is filed under the name bacterium J001. RNAcentral describes it as "bacterial SSU rRNA". It matches the Rfam family "Bacterial small subunit ribosomal RNA". The record is from RNAcentral.
GUCGAGCGGUCGCGGAGAGUGGGUUGCUACUUUGCCGGCGACCGGCGGACGGGUGAGUAAUGUCUGGGAAACUGCCUGAUGGAGGGGGAUAACUACUGGAAACGGUAGCUAAUACCGCAUAAUGUCGCAAGACCAAAGAGGGGGACCUUCGGGCCUCUUGCCAUCAGAUGUGCCCAGAUGGGAUUAGCUAGUAGGUGGGGUAACGGCUCACCUAGGCGACGAUCCCUAGCUGGUCUGAGAGGAUGACCAGCCACACUGGAACUGAGACACGGUCCAGACUCCUACGGGAGGCAGCAGUGGGGAAUUUUGCCCAAUUGGCCAGGCCUGAUGCAGCAUGCGCGGUAUGAAGAAGCCUUCCGGGUGUGAAGUACUUUCAGCGGGAAGAGCCGUUGAGGUAAUACCUCAGCGAUGACGUUACCCGCAGAAGAAGCCCCGGCCUAACUCCGUGCCAGCAGCCGCGUAAUACGGAGGGUGCAAGCGUUAAUCGGAAUUACUGGGCGUAAAGCGCACGCCAGGCGGUCUGUCAAGUCGGAUGUGAAAUCCCCGGGCUCAACCUGGGAACUGCAUUCGAAACUGGCAGGCUAGAGUCUUGUAGAGGGGGGUAGAAUUCCAGGUGUAGCGGUGAAAUGCGUAGAGAUCUGGAGGAAUACCGGUGGCGAAGGCGGCCCCCUGGACAAAGACUGACGCUCAGGUGCGAAAGCGUGGGGAGCAAACAGGAUUAGAUACCCUGGUAGUCCACGCCGUAAACGAUGUCGACUUGGAGGUUGUGCCCUUGAGGCGUGGCUUCCGGAGCUAACGCGUUAAGUCGACCGCCUGGGGAGUACGGCCGCAAGGUUAAAACUCAAAUGAAUUGACGGGGGCCCGCACAAGCGGUGGAGCAUGUGGUUUAAUUCGAUGCAACGCGAAGAACCUUACCUACUCUUGACAUCCAGAGAACUUAGCAGAGAUGCUUUGGUGCCUUCGGGAACUCUGAGACAGGUGCUGCAUGGCUGUCGUCAGCUCGUGUUGUGAAAUGUUGGGUUAAGUCCCGCAACGAGCGCAACCCUUAUCCUUUGUUGCCAGCGGUUAGGCCGGGAACUCAAAGGAGACUGCCAGUGUAAACUGGAGGAAGGUGGGGAUGACGUCAAGUCAUCAUGGCCCUUACGAGUAGGGCUACACACGUGCUACAAUGGCGCAUACAAAGAGAAGCGACCUCGCGAGAGCAAGCGGACCUCAUAAAGUGCGUCGUAGUCCGGAUUGGAGUCUGCAACUCGACUCCAUGAAGUCGGAAUCGCUAGUAAUCGUAGAUCAGAAUGCUACGGUGAAUACGUUCCCGGGCCUUGUACACACCGCCCGUCACACCAUGGGAGUGGGUUGCAAAAGAAGUAGGUAGCUUAACCUUCGGGAGGGCGC